CGGAGGGAUCAUUACUGAGUUUACGCUCUACAACCCUUUGUGAACAUACCUAUAACUGUUGCUUCGGCGGGUAGGGUCUCCGCGACCCUCCCGGCCUCCCGCCUCCGGGCGGGUCGGCGCCCGCCGGAGGAUAACCAAACUCUGAUUUAACGACGUUUCUUCUGAGUGGUACAAGCAAAUAAUCAAAACUUUUAACAACGGAUCUCUUGGUUCUGGCAUCGAUGAAGAACGCAGCGAAAUGCGAUAAGUAAUGUGAAUUGCAGAAUUCAGUGAAUCAUCGAAUCUUUGAACGCACAUUGCGCCCGCCAGCAUUCUGGCGGGCAUGCCUGUUCGAGCGUCAUUUCAACCCUCAAGCUCUGCUUGGUGUUGGGGCCCUACAGCUGAUGUAGGCCCUCAAAGGUAGUGGCGGACCCUCCCGGAGCCUCCUUUGCGUAGUAACUUUACGUCUCGCACUGGGAUCCGGAGGGACUCUUGCCGUAAAACCCCCAAUUUUCCAAAGGCUGACCUC
RNAcentral lists this ribosomal RNA (508 nucleotides) under Colletotrichum gloeosporioides. Its description in RNAcentral is "eukaryotic LSU rRNA". The stretch from base 187 to 340 matches the Rfam family "5.8S ribosomal RNA". Lineage: Eukaryota; Fungi; Ascomycota; Sordariomycetes; Glomerellales; Glomerellaceae. The record is from RNAcentral.